UACGUAGGGUGCAAGCGUUACUCGGAAUCACUGGGCGUAAAGGGUGCGUAGGCGGCUUGUUAAGUUGGAUGUGAAAGCCCUCGGCUCAACCGAGGAACUGCGUCCAAAACUGGCGAGCUAGAGGAUGGUAGGGGACAGUGGAACUCCAGGUGGAGCGGUGAAAUGCGUAGAGAUCUGGAGGAACGCCGGUGGCGAAAGCGAUUGUCUGGGCCAUUCCUGACGCUGAGGCACGAAAGCCAGGGGAGCAAACGGG
This 253-nucleotide ribosomal RNA is filed under the name uncultured bacterium. Its description in RNAcentral is "partial 16S ribosomal RNA". It matches the Rfam family "Bacterial small subunit ribosomal RNA", at positions 524 to 776 of the family's 1533-position model. The record is from RNAcentral.